RNAcentral lists this transfer RNA (21 nucleotides) under Tiliqua rugosa (stump-tailed skink). RNAcentral describes it as "partial tRNA-Ser". The record is from RNAcentral. Lineage: Eukaryota; Metazoa; Chordata; Lepidosauria; Squamata; Scincidae.
CUCUGCGUCCUGGGGUUACAC